RNAcentral lists this ribosomal RNA (437 nucleotides) under uncultured bacterium. Its description in RNAcentral is "partial 16S ribosomal RNA". It matches the Rfam family "Bacterial small subunit ribosomal RNA", at positions 339 to 795 of the family's 1533-position model. The record is from RNAcentral.
CUACGGGCGCAGCAGUGGGGAAUAUUGCGCAAUGGGGGAAACCCUGACGCAGCGACGCCGCGUGAGUGACGACGUCUUUAGGGAUGUAAAGCUCUGUCACGAGGGACGAUUAUGACGGUACCUCGAGAGGAAGCCCCGGCUAACUACGUGCCAGCAGCCGCGGUAAUACGUAGGGGGCGAGCGUUAUCCGGAAUUAUUGGGCAUAAAGAGCACGUAGGUGGAAUGUCAAGUCAGAUGUAAAAGGCACCAGCUCAACUGGUGUAAGCAUUUGAAACUGGCAAUCUAGAGAUCGGUAGAGGUAAGAAGAACUCAUAGUGUAGCGGUGAAAUGCGUAGAUAUUAUGAGGAACACCAGUUGCGAAGGCGUCUUACUGGACCGAAUCUGACACUGAGGUGCGAAAGCGUGGGUAGCGAACGGGAUUAGAUACCCUCGUAGUC